CAACAAUCCCAUCCCCCCACCCCAGGAGAGCCAUUGGCCAGGAGAGAGAGGUCAGGCGGGCUGUGGCCUCCAGCCACCAGGAGGUGACUCAUCCUUCCCGUGAUGACAGGUGACAUUCCUCCUUGUGCCCAGGGGGACUUUGGCCUGAGAUAAAGGGAGCUGGCCUCCUGCUUCUGGGAAGAGGAGGACAAACAGCCUUUCUCUGUGAGGUGUGAAUCACAAUGCGGGGGACAGUAACGGUCACGGUACAACCCGCUGGCCCUCCUGGCCGUCCCUCACCUUGGUGCCGGCCGCGUUUCGGGUCAGCUCUCUCCCACUGCAAGGAACCUUCCUGUGCGUUGUGGGGUGCCCGGCUGCACCCUGGCGUCUGCCCAGUUUGGUGGGAGCCGUGGGGGGCUGCGUUGCUCUGCACAGUGAAGGGCCUGGACCGCUGUUUCUGGCUCCCGCGCUCUGAGCUGCCACUGGCUGCACAGUGUCAUCAAGUCAUUUCCUAUGUAAACAGCUGUCUGGCACCGCGUCAGCGAGUCACAGUGAAAAUGAAACCUCCUUCCCAGCCUGCAACCUGCCCCUCAGUGAGGAAGGAUGGGGGCAAUGUCGGAGUGCUCAGAGCUUAUCAGGAUGCGGAACGAAGGACGAAGGACGCUGUUAAGUGGGUUUGUCCUUAAAGUGACUUCCUAGUGUAAUUCAUGAGCUGCUGGCCAGAACAUGAGGCACAUCCUUCGAAAGCACAAGGGAACCCAAGGAAGGCGAGGAGGGGAGGAGGGAAAGGAGAGAAGCUUCCAUCCUUGUCCCUUGUGGGAUCCUUAGAAAGGGUUAAUAUCCUUCAUAUACAAAGAGUUUUUGGGAAACAAUAGGAAAUGGCAAACCCCUUAUUAUAAAAUCAGCUAUUUACCGAGGCGAAUGCAAAUGUGAAGACAAGCUCUGCUCUGCCAGGAAUCAAGGAAAUGCAAAUCAGAGCUGCAGUGACUUAUCAUUCCUGCCUAUCAGAUUGGCAAAGACCAAAAAAAAAAAAA
Urocitellus parryii (Arctic ground squirrel) is the source of this 1013-nucleotide long non-coding RNA. RefSeq lists it as uncharacterized. The record is from RefSeq and is a predicted model, not a curated record. NCBI's taxonomy places the organism in Eukaryota, Metazoa, Chordata, Mammalia, Rodentia, Sciuridae.